UGAGCUUCAGACAGUGCCUGAAACCAGAAGUCCGCUGUCUCUCCCCUUCCUUUCCUCACCAAGUGGUGCUCGCACUGGACCGGUGAAGACAGGUGGAAGGGUGUUUGUGUUGGACCCCUAUGAAAAAGGCUAUCGACGACCUGCUUCAUAAACACCGUGGCCAGAAGGAGAUGCUCAAGCUUGUAGACCAGGACUAUGCUGGUCUAGUUCACAACUCCUGUAAAGACCCAAACAGCAUGCCUAUCAAAAAUGAACAUGUCUAACAGCAUUUUUAACAUUUGCAGUAAAAUAUCAAUGGUUCAUUUACCACGAACAUGCAGAAAAACCCUAAACUUUCUAAAAAACACAUAUCUUUUGCUAUGUUAGGCCUCGUAUCCAAACUACGUGUCGAUGUAGCCUUGGUAAAUAACUAGCAACAAAACAUUACAGACCAAACUAAUUACUAUUAGACAAUACAAAAAACUAAAUUUAGAUAACUUUACUAAUGAUAUAAUUUCAAUUAACUGGGAUAGAUAUCCGUUAAUUCCAAAUGUACAUUCUGAAUUGAAUACAGUUCUUGAUAAACAUGCUCCUCUGAAAACUAUUAAAGUAAAAGGCAGGCAUCUUCCCUGGAUAAGAGCUGACUUUAUUAGACCUUUCAGGCAGAGAGAUGCUGCUUGGGCCACAUUUCAUAAGUUUAAGAAUCCGACUGAUUGGGAUGAAUACAGGAGGCUACGAAAUCUAAGCAAAACAAUGACGGGAAAUGCCAAAUCCAGUUAUUACAAAGAAUCUCUCAUUGAAAAUUUCAAAAAUCCUAAACAAUUCUGGCCUAAGA
This is a long non-coding RNA of Etheostoma spectabile (orangethroat darter), 814 nucleotides long. RefSeq lists it as uncharacterized. Lineage: Eukaryota; Metazoa; Chordata; Actinopteri; Perciformes; Percidae. The transcript is spliced from 3 exons. The record is from RefSeq and is a predicted model, not a curated record.